AUGGCGGAACUCAGCCUCCUCCCGGCUGUUUUUGCUCGCCGCACCUCCUACACCGGGAUCCCGUGGGUCGCCAUCGCCGCAUCGACCGUUGUCAUGAUCACCGUCUCCUUCCUUGGCUUCGAUUAUGUCGCCAACUUCCUAUAUAGCUUGGGCACGUUGCUCGACUUCACCUCCUUCUGGCUCCGUGCCAAGCACCUGAUGCUGAAGCGCCCCUACCAUGUGCCACUAUUGCUGUGUGUGCUUGUGGCCAUGUGUGCCGUGCCGUCGGCUUUCCUGGCCUAUGUCUGUGUGGUGGCCGGGUGGAGGGCGUUCGGCGUUGCUGCUGGGCUGUCAGCGCUCGGUGUCGGUUGGAAUGGCGUCAUGAGGUUGUGCAGGGCCAAAAAGUUGCUCAAGUUCAACAACGCGGUUGUUGCUGUCCAUCGAGAGGGUGUUGAAGAGAAUUGCAACGUGGGUAACUAG
Molecule: ribosomal RNA, 459 nt
Filed under: Triticum aestivum (bread wheat)
Lineage: Eukaryota; Viridiplantae; Streptophyta; Magnoliopsida; Poales; Poaceae
Description: partial small subunit ribosomal RNA
Source: RNAcentral